GGGAUAUUCUGGUUUAAUCCAUGGUCUAAAUCACUGUGAAACUGUGUUAGACUCCCUCUCCAGAGAUCAAGUUAGCAGACCGCUAAUUUAGUGAGUUUUAUCAACCUCAGAAACGACCGCACGACAACAAUACACUGCAGUAAAUGGAUCCAAAUAUAAACCGCCACCAAAAAGCCACAAAUAAUGCUCAGAACAGCACCAAACUUCAGCAACGGUACAAAUAGGGUCUCAGCACAUAGUCCGGGGCAUCUAACCUCCGCUAGCUUAGCUGGAUUUCUAUUGUGAAGCUAAAAACAGAUUUCAACUCUCCUCCAUCAGCUUCCGGGUCGGGGAAGUCCCGACGCGACGAUUACCGAGUGCGGUUAGAAAUGCUCAAUUCCGUUCUUUUCCCUGUCCGCUCUCGAUAAUAACUGUUAUAAACUGGCAGGUAAGACACAUAUGAACUUUGAUUGCUUUUCCAUGGAGUCAUAAUCAUACAUUUUCAUCCAUGAGCCGCGGAACUCUACUGCACUCGGUAAUCGACUCGUCGGGACUUCCCGUCAACAGGAAGCUGCUGCAGAAGAGUGGUAAAUUUAGUCAGCUUUUCAGUAGAAAUCCAGCUAAGCUAGUGGAGGUUAGAUGCCCCGGACUAUGUGCUGAGACCCUAUUUGUACUGUUGCUGAAGUUUGGUGCUGUUCUGAGCAUUAUUUGUGGCUUUUUGGUGGCGGUUUAUAUUUGGAUCCAUUUACUGCAGUGUAUUGUUGUCGUGGAUCCAAAUAUAAACCGCCACCAAAAAGCCACAAAUAAUGCUCAGAACAGCACCAAACUUCAGCAACAGUACAAAUAGGGUCUCAGCACAUAGUCCGGGGCAUCUAACCUCCGCUAGCUUAGCUGGAUUUCUAUUGUGAAGCUAAAAACAGAUUUCAACUCUCCUCCAUCAGCUUCCGGGUCGGGGAAGACCCGACGCGACGAUUACCGAGUGCGGUUAGAAAUGCUCAAUUCCGUUCUUUUCCCUGUCCGCUCUCGAUAAUAACUGUUAUAAACUGGCAGGUAAGACACAUAUGAACUUUGAUUGCUUUUCCAUGGAGUCAUAAUCAUACAUUUUCAUCCAUGAGCCGCGGAACUCUACUGCACUCGGUAAUCGACUCGUCGGGACUUCCCGUCAACAGGAAGCUGCUGCAGAAGAGUGGUAAAUUUAGUCAGCUUUUCAGUAGAAAUCCAGCUAAGCUAGCGGAGGUUAGAUGCCCCGGACUAUGUGCUGAGACCCUAUUUGUACUGUUGCUGAAGUUUGGUGCUGUUCUGAGCAUUAUUUGUGGCUUUUUGGUGGCGGUUUAUAUUUGGAUCCAUUUACUGCAGUGUAUUGUUGUCGUGCGGUCGUUUCUGAGGUGGAUAAAACUCCGUAAAUUAGCGGUCUGCUAACUUGAUCUCUCGAGAGGGAGUCUAACACAGUUUCACGGUGUUAGACCAUGGAUUAAAGUCA
Molecule: long non-coding RNA, 1459 nt
Filed under: Sparus aurata (gilthead seabream)
Lineage: Eukaryota; Metazoa; Chordata; Actinopteri; Spariformes; Sparidae
Description: lncRNA (ENSSAUG00010019638.1)
Source: RNAcentral